CUGAGCCGGACCGGUUUGUGCCCUCAUUAAUCCUCAUUCUGCUGUGCAGCCUUGGUUUUGUACUGUUGGUGACUGGACUGAUUUUCUUCAAGAAACGCAAAGCCUUGAAAAAUGAGACGGUCACGGAUCUAAAUGAAACCGCGUAUGCUGCUGUCAACAAACCAAACUCAACAAAUGGUGGAGAUGCUGCAAAUGGACCAGGCCAAGCCACGUAUGCUUCUGUCCAAAAAAGGAAGAAAGGGAAGGAAGUUUGUGCAGCUCCCUUCGGACAACAUUCAUCGGAUCAACAGCCAAUCUAUUCUCUACUGAGUCAGGAAGUUUGUGCAGCUCCCAUCAGACAAUAUUCAUCGGAUCCACAGCCAGUCUAUUCUUUACUGAGUAUUUAAUCCUUUUUAUUCUAAAAAAAGAAUAUUUAAGACCUGUGUGUUUACAAACGUACAUAAAACUUGUUUCCUAACAUCCUAAGACGAUGAAAACAAUAAUUUUAAAAUAUUGAUGGGUUCUUUUUGGUAAGGCUACUAAAUUAAAGAAAGUGAAA
Fundulus heteroclitus (mummichog) is the source of this 538-nucleotide long non-coding RNA. RefSeq lists it as uncharacterized. The record is from RefSeq and is a predicted model, not a curated record. NCBI's taxonomy places the organism in Eukaryota, Metazoa, Chordata, Actinopteri, Cyprinodontiformes, Fundulidae. The transcript is spliced from 5 exons.